UACUUCAUUGAGGAUCAAAUAUCUUGAAAGUCAUAGGUCGUAUACUCAUACUUUUAAGUUCCACCCAAUAUUUGAUAUUUUCUGUACUGGAAACAUGUCCAUUCAGUUACUCUUGGUUGAAAUUUCUUGUUUUUUCAUGUUUCGUGGAUUUGGGGGAGGGUUCGAUGUUUGUGAACAGCAAAGUGAAUAGCCUAUUGUGCUGACCAGUAGGGUUAAAAUGCUCAAAUACUGCGCGUUAUUGGAGUCCUCUAGUAACUGGAUUGAGCUAGUUAUGAAUCAUUUCUACGAUGAAAUCCAAAGGAGGGUAAGUAGAAGAGAGAAAAAAGGAAAAAGGAUACAGAGGCAAAAAGUAGAAAUGAAGAUAUUCUUCACACGCAUUCAGUGUUAAGCUUAGACAUGCAGAUCGAUUUGAUUUCAGAUCUUCAACUGGUGAGGUUGCACAGGAAGCUAACCUGAAAAUGUCUGGGAUUUUAUCCCAAUUGCAGGAGCAAACGAUUGAUGAAAACCUGGUGCUUAAAAUGCUUGAAGACAACUUGAAGUUAAUCUGGGAUCACUGUUUGCAUGAUGGUUCUUCAAGCUGACCAUAUUUUAUGGUCCUUCACUUUCUCUUUGCAAAAUAUCUGCAGAAACUGCUAGACUCACAAGCUAUGUUCGGUUGGUGAAGAAAGUUACCUUUUGUAGUUUGCAGUGGUGGAAUAUAUAGAUGUAGAUAACUGAAUUUUUAAACUCAAAAUGUUGAAUGCUGUUUGCACUAUAUAGUUUUGUGUAUGGAAUGAAAUGAACCAAGGCCUCUAAUGUUAGUGGCAUCAGUAAGGAACACUAGAUAAGAUUGUAAAUAGUUCUGUUUUGUAAUGGAUCGAACUGCUGAGUUCA
This is a long non-coding RNA of Solanum tuberosum (potato), 873 nucleotides long. RefSeq lists it as uncharacterized. Lineage: Eukaryota; Viridiplantae; Streptophyta; Magnoliopsida; Solanales; Solanaceae. The transcript has 2 exons. The record is from RefSeq and is a predicted model, not a curated record.